RNAcentral lists this ribosomal RNA (503 nucleotides) under uncultured bacterium. RNAcentral describes it as "partial 16S ribosomal RNA". It matches the Rfam family "Bacterial small subunit ribosomal RNA", at positions 30 to 523 of the family's 1533-position model. The record is from RNAcentral.
AUUGAACGCUGGCGGCAGGCUUAACACAUGCAAGUCGAGCGGGGUGAUGGUGCUUGCACUAUCACUUAGCGGCGGACGGGUGAGUAAUGCUUAGGAAUCUGCCUAUUAGUGGGGGACAACAUCUCGAAAGGGAUGCUAAUACCGCAUACGUCCUACGGGAGAAAGCAGGGGAUCACUUGUGACCUUGCGCUAAUAGAUGAGCCUAAGUCGGAUUAGCUAGUUGGUGGGGUAAAGGCCUACCAAGGCGACGAUCUGUAGCGGGUCUGAGAGGAUGAUCCGCCACACUGGGACUGAGACACGGCCCAGACUCCUACGGGAGGCAGCAGUGGGGAAUAUUGGACAAUGGGGGGAACCCUGAUCCAGCCAUGCCGCGUGUGUGAAGAAAGCCUUAUGGUUGUAAAGCACUUUAAGCGAGGAGGAGGCUCUUUUGGUUAAUACCCAAGAUGAGUGGACGUUACUCGCAGAAUAAGCACCGGUUAACUCUGUGCCAGCAGCCGCGGUAA